CCUACGGGAGGCAGCAGUGGGGAAUAUUGCACAAUGGGCGGAAGCCUGAUGCAGCGACGCCGCGUGAGGGAUGAAGGCCUUCGGGUUGUAAACCUCUUUCAGCAGGGACGAAGCGUGAGUGACGGUACCUGCAGAAGAAGCACCGGCUAACUACGUGCCAGCAGCCGCGGUAAU
Molecule: ribosomal RNA, 174 nt
Filed under: uncultured bacterium
Lineage: Bacteria
Also listed under: 1 other name
Description: partial 16S ribosomal RNA
Rfam family: Bacterial small subunit ribosomal RNA
Source: RNAcentral